GGCGUCAGCCCACUAGCUAGCUCUGUGUCACUCCAUUCUUUUAUUUCUGCGAGGUUCUUUUCCACUCCCUCCCUCAUGGAGGGCUCAGGAUUGCUUUUUCUUUACUGUACCUGCUGCUGUUUCACUAAGAUGGAGAACAGAGGAAGGGGACGAGAGGAGGGAAGAUGGAUGGGUCGAGAGUUUACUCUUCAGUGUUACAACUCUCUCGAGGCUCCUCAAAGAGUGUAUCCCUCAUACUGGACACCACCCAGCUGUUGGAGACCCUGGAGGCCGAGAGUCUGAGGUUCCGACGUUGCAAUUCAAACCCCAAAGCACAGAAGAUCUUCAUUUUGGUUUCAGAGAAGUCAUUAUCUUCAUUUUUUGGGGGGGGGGAUACUGAGAUGACCCCCAAG
This is a long non-coding RNA of Bos taurus (domestic cattle), 392 nucleotides long. The record is from Ensembl. NCBI's taxonomy places the organism in Eukaryota, Metazoa, Chordata, Mammalia, Artiodactyla, Bovidae.